UACGGAGGGUGCAAGCGUUGUUCGGAAUUAUUGGGCGUAAAGCGCGCGCAGGCGGAAAUGUGUGUAAGAUGUGAAAUCUCCAGGCUCAACUUGGAAACUGCGUCUUAAACUGCAUAUCUAGAAUACCGGAGGGGGAUGGGGAGUUUCUCAUGUAGGGGUAAAAUCCGUAGAGAUGAGAAGGAACACCUGAGGCGAAGGCGCCAUCCUGGACGGUUAUUGACGCUGAGGCGCGAAAGCGUGGGGAGCAGACAGGAUUAGAUACCCUGGUAGUCCACGCGGUAAACAAUGGGCACUUGUUAUUAUGGGUAUUGACCCCCGUAGUGACGAAGCUAACGCGUUAAGUGCCCCGCCUGGGGAGUACGGUCGCAAGAUUAAA
RNAcentral lists this ribosomal RNA (376 nucleotides) under uncultured bacterium. Its description in RNAcentral is "bacterial SSU rRNA". It matches the Rfam family "Bacterial small subunit ribosomal RNA", at positions 524 to 898 of the family's 1533-position model. The record is from RNAcentral.